GGCGGCUUCCGGGUGUGCCCGGCCUUUGUCUCUCGUGUCCGCACGUGCGUGUCUCGGUCAGUAGCCGCUGCGCUUCUCGAACUUCUCUCUCGGCGGUUCAGGAGGCUCUGCCGCAGCCGGGGCCCUCCUGUGACCUGCAUGUACUGGGGGAUUCGCAGGGAGGAUGUCGGGACACCCCGGAAGCUGGGAAAUGGCACACUCACAAACGUCUUUGGAUGGAGGUUUCCCUUUGGAACCUUCACGUGGUGAUGUGUCCUCAGCCACCCUCUUGUCUUUUCUGGGUCCUGGGUUCAAAACUGUUUGAGGAUGACCUAAUGUGCCCACACUGGCCAUGUCUCUUGGAGUGUCAUAGUGAAUGUCAGCUGUUGGGUCCUCUUCUCCCAGAAGACAAGGUGAGGUUUAGGGGUGGAGCCUCUCAGAGGAGCAGCUGGAUGGCAUGAAUCCCCUGGGACCGAGAGGAGUCUCCUGGGAUACUCUUCUAUACUCUUCCUCUAAAAAGCUAAUCCAUUGGGACUUAGAUUUUUUUUUCUCCCACCCCCGUUAUCACUCCUUAGAGACAAAAUGCUGGUCAGGCAGUCAGAUACUGGUAUUGAGGGAAGAAAGAAUUUCUGCCCUCUGGAUUGUCUCAUACUUGUGAAGGGAGAACAGCUAUUCCAAAGUACAAGGAAGCCCCGCCCCGCAGUGAGGCAGUAACCUGAAAAGCAAAAUGCAUUUGGGGCACAGUGGGGACACGGCGCAGUUUUCUGGGGGAGGGUGGACAUUGAGUACUUCCCUGAGCAGGAUGGGGUGGGAGAAUUCAGGAGAUGAGAUGGUCUGACUUGACCCUUGAGUCAGCCAUGUCCGUGCUCGUCAGUACUGCUACUCGUUUGUCACCUUGAAAAUACUUGUUCACUUAUUUUAACUUCAGUUUUUCGCUGAUUGAAAAAUACAUUUUAUCAGUACAGCUUGAGAGAUAAUAUUUUCAAAAGGCCAAGAAAGAGGUGUAUAUCAGAAAAAUAUUAGAUAUCUAGUCAUAUAUUUCAUUUGUUAAAAAUUCUUAAAUGGCUUUUUUCUUCCCCAGAGGGAGUGUAGUAAGUUUCACAGGUUUGUUCUUUUCUGGGGGUGGUUUCAACCCGAAUUCCAGGGCUUAGCUUUGGGAAUGCUACCAGGGAAAAAUAGGGACACUGUCUUCCAUUAUGGCUGCAGAAAAAUACGUUUUCACAAGAAAGUAUACUCACUAACAGCAGCUCACUAAAGCAUCAGUUCCACCUUUGUGCCGAGCGGAGAUUCUGUGACAGUGGAUGACUCUGUUUCCUGUUACCUGGAUGUCCAAGUUUAAUGGCAAAUCUGUGGGUGGGGACUUGGCAUUUUUAGAUGUGUUAACAUCGAAAUAAUUUAUGAAAUAAUGUUAUCAUGUAAAUAAUUACAUGACUUGUUUAUUGUAUGAAAGGAAUACUUCUGCUUUUCCUGUUGAGGUAUGAAAUGUAAUUGCCUUGCAAUUUUAUUCCCUCCAACAUACAUAAAAGCAGAGUUUGAGUGAU
Molecule: long non-coding RNA, 1520 nt
Organism: Pan troglodytes (chimpanzee)
Lineage: Eukaryota; Metazoa; Chordata; Mammalia; Primates; Hominidae
Exons: 2
Source: RefSeq, a predicted model, not a curated record